RNAcentral lists this ribosomal RNA (95 nucleotides) under Salmo salar (Atlantic salmon). The record is from RNAcentral. Lineage: Eukaryota; Metazoa; Chordata; Actinopteri; Salmoniformes; Salmonidae.
GCUUGUGGCCAUACACCCUGAACACGCUUGUUUAGGUUCAGGCCUGGUUAGUACUGGGAUGGGAGACCGCCUGGGAAUACCAGAUGCGGUAAGCA